RNAcentral lists this unclassified non-coding RNA (329 nucleotides) under soil metagenome. RNAcentral's name for it is "partial contains 5.8S ribosomal RNA, internal transcribed spacer 2, and large subunit ribosomal RNA". The stretch from base 1 to 120 matches the Rfam family "5.8S ribosomal RNA", at positions 35 to 154 of the family's 154-position model. The record is from RNAcentral.
GAUGAAGAACGUAGCGAAAUGCGAUAAGUAAUGUGAAUUGCAGAAUUCAGUGAAUCAUCGAAUCUUUGAACGCACAUUGCGCCCUCUGGUAUUCCGGGGGGCAUGCCUGUUCGAGCGUCAUUAUAACCACUCAAGCUCUCGCUUGGUAUUUGAGUUCGCGAUCUCGCGGCUCCUAAAAUCAGUGGCGGUGCCUGUCGGCUCUACGCGUAGUAAUACUCCUCGCGAUUGAGUCCGGUAGGUUUACUUGCCAGCAACCCCCAAUUUUUACAGGUUGACCUCGGAUCAGGUAGGGAUACCCGCUGAACUUAAGCAUAUCAAUAAGCGGAGGA